This 74-nucleotide transfer RNA is filed under the name Chloroflexota bacterium. RNAcentral describes it as "Chloroflexi bacterium (anaerobic digester metagenome) tRNA-Gly". It matches the Rfam family "tRNA". Rfam says of the family: Transfer RNA (tRNA) molecules are approximately 80 nucleotides in length. Their secondary structure includes four short double-helical elements and three loops (D, anti-codon, and T loops). Lineage: Bacteria; Bacillati; Chloroflexota. The record is from RNAcentral.
GCGGGCAUGGUGUAGUGGUAACACAACAGCCUUCCAAGCUGUUGUCACGGGUUCGAGUCCCGUUGCCCGCUCCA